UUUGAACACUUUUAUAUCAAGCCACUGAGGCAGAAUAAAUUCAAGUUCUGUAAACUUCAGGUGUUGUGUCAAAAGUUUCUGAAUUCUCACCAAAAAUCUAAUCUAAUUACACACACACACACACACACACACACACACACACACACACACACACACACAUACAGGAGAUCUGAUAGGAAGAAAGGGUUUCCAAGGCCAUGAUGAAUAGCUGGCAGUUACCCAGCUCUUUAAGGUCAACAAAUGCCUUCUAUCAUCUCAAGUUUCAUUCUCCCUAUUUUACAGACAGAGAAACUGAGAUUCCAGUGGUUUCAGUGGUUUGCCAAGGGCCACACAACUAAGAAAUGGCUGCCCUGGAAUCUGAACCCAGAUGUUCCUAACUGUGGAUUCAGCGCUGUAGCCACUACAGAUGAUUCUCAGUGGCCCCUGGCCCAGAUCUUGGGCCAUUACAGCUAAGGGGAUGCCGUGCUGUGCCAUCGUCUGUGUUGAAUCUGAAUACUGGUAUAUGUCCAAAAACACUGAGGCAGUGAGAUGGAGGGCACAAGGAACUGGCAAAAUGGGAUGGUCCCAAAGGAUAUUUACAUCCGGAGGAAGGCUGGGAGAAGACAACAGAAAGACAAAAAGCAGCAGGAAAAUGCAUUUUUAAGAAG
Molecule: long non-coding RNA, 647 nt
Filed under: Monodelphis domestica (gray short-tailed opossum)
Lineage: Eukaryota; Metazoa; Chordata; Mammalia; Didelphimorphia; Didelphidae
Description: lncRNA (ENSMODG00000047240.1)
Source: RNAcentral